AACAAACGCUGGCGGCGUGCCUAAUACAUGCAAGUCGAACGGGGAAAGCUUUCGGGUGAGUACUAGUGGCGCACGGGUGAGGAACGCGUGGGUAAUUUUCCUUGAAGUGGGGGAUAACUAGUCGAAAGAUUAGCUAAUACCGCAUAAGACCACGAAAUCUGAGGAUUUUGAGGUAAAAGGUUUUUCGCUUCAAGAUAAGCCCGCGUAAGAUUAGCUAGUUGGUGAGGUAAUGGCUCACCAAGGCGACGAUCUUUAGCUGGUCUGAGAGGAUGAUCAGCCACACUGGAACUGAGACACGGUCCAGACUCCUACGGGAGGCAGCAGUAGGGAAUAUUGCACAAUGGAGGAAACUCUGAUGCAGCGACGCCGCGUGAGUGAUGAAGGACUUCGGUUCGUAAAGCUCUGUCGCAUGGGAAUAAUAAAUGAAGGUACCAUGCAAGAAAGGAUCGGCUAACUUCGUGCCAGCAGCCGCGGUAC
Molecule: ribosomal RNA, 477 nt
Filed under: uncultured bacterium
Lineage: Bacteria
Description: partial 16S ribosomal RNA
Rfam family: Bacterial small subunit ribosomal RNA
Source: RNAcentral